CGCGAAGUAGAGCAGCGGUAGCUCGUCGGGCUCAUAACCCGAAGGUCGGUGGUUCGAACCCACCCUUCGCAACAA
RNAcentral lists this transfer RNA (75 nucleotides) under Niastella vici. RNAcentral's name for it is "tRNA-Met". It matches the Rfam family "tRNA". From Rfam's summary of the family: Transfer RNA (tRNA) molecules are approximately 80 nucleotides in length. Their secondary structure includes four short double-helical elements and three loops (D, anti-codon, and T loops). Further hydrogen bonds mediate the characteristic L-shaped molecular structure. tRNAs have two regions of fundamental functional importance: the anti-codon, which is responsible for specific mRNA codon recognition, and the 3' end, to which the tRNAs corresponding amino acid is attached (by aminoacyl-tRNA synthetases). tRNAs cope with the degeneracy of the genetic code in two manners: having more than one tRNA (with a specific anti-codon) for a particular amino acid; and 'wobble' base-pairing, i.e. permitting non-standard base-pairing at the 3rd anti-codon position. The record is from RNAcentral. Lineage: Bacteria; Pseudomonadati; Bacteroidota; Chitinophagia; Chitinophagales; Chitinophagaceae.